GAGAGAGAUGGGAAGAGGCAGAAUAUUUUGUCUAAUUUCAAGUUCAAGAAAGCAAAGAACACAAAAGUUAAGUGGCUGGUGUCCAUUUAUUCGAGUAAAUUUAUUCAGGAGUCGAGCCAGAAAUAAAGAUCAAGUCUCCUGGCCCAUGUACUAGGCCCCAUGCUGCCUCACAGCUUUCAAAACCUUCAUUUUCUUGGAAAAAGCUAAAAAGCUUUCCUCUACCAUACAUACUAGAUUCAGACACACUGCCAUCUACUGACCCACCAAAGGAUGUACCAGCUAAGACAUCCUGACCUUCAAGGGAGAGAGGAACACCUCGAGAGGAGUUGAGAUCCUGCUUUCCCUUCCGAAUGCCAUCUCCAGGAUGCUAAUGGGCUGUGUCUACAGUACUAUGCAGGAAAGUGCUGCAACAGUUCUGUCACCCCUAUGAAGACCUGGUUCUUAGCUGCAGCUGCAACUCUAUCCCUGGACUCAUCUUUGAAACUACCCAGAGGUAGACAGUCAAGAGCUUUAGAACUUUACAACAGGAUCUUCCUAGUGCCCUGAGACUUUGUGACAGAGCCAACAGAAAUAAAUCAUACAGGACAAAGCCAGACCCUGGUGUGAGGGAUGCUUAUGAAACAACAUAAACAAGAAGUUGUAUGAAAAAGAUUGUAUGGAAGGAAGAAGAGAUAAUGGAAAUUAACUCAUAAUAGCCCCAAUUAAAACACUUAUAGUAAAAUAUCAUUAGUACUACUUGAUUUUGGUGAAAGGCUCAAGAUUCAAGUCAGAAGGCCUGUUUGCUGUGAGUUCUUGAACGAAUAAUGUAACUUUGUUAAAAUUCAGUUUUCUUUUCUAUCAUUGGGUAUUAAUAAUUUCUCUGGGAUGUAAGAGUUAUGAUGUGAAGUUAAAAUAACUAAUAAAUGGGUAAACCCUGAAAAUG
Molecule: long non-coding RNA, 922 nt
Organism: Cebus imitator (Panamanian white-faced capuchin)
Lineage: Eukaryota; Metazoa; Chordata; Mammalia; Primates; Cebidae
Exons: 3
Source: RefSeq, a predicted model, not a curated record